AUUUCCAGACUGUAUUACCAUCAUUUGAGCUCUUCUCAAAGUAUGGAAAAUUAUAUUCAAAAGCUGGACAGAUUGUAUAAAGAGAGACAGGGUCUCACUCUGUUGCCCAGGGUGGAAUGCAGUGGCGUGAUCAUAGCUCACUGCAACCUCGAACUCCUGGGUUCAACUGAUCCUCCUGCCUCAGCCUCUUGAGUAGCUGGGAUUACAGGUGUCAGAAGAAGAAACUGAAGCCAUCUGCAUUUUAAAACUUAACAGUUCUGAAAGGAAAACACAGAUGAAGAUCCUGUAGGAAAUAUACUUGCUAUGAUUCUAUAAACUAU
This 320-nucleotide small RNA is filed under the name Pan troglodytes (chimpanzee). Its description in RNAcentral is "processed transcript". Lineage: Eukaryota; Metazoa; Chordata; Mammalia; Primates; Hominidae. The record is from RNAcentral.